Long non-coding RNA from Myotis daubentonii (Daubenton's bat), 249 nucleotides. RefSeq lists it as uncharacterized. The record is from RefSeq and is a predicted model, not a curated record. Lineage: Eukaryota; Metazoa; Chordata; Mammalia; Chiroptera; Vespertilionidae.
CAGGCACAACUGAAGAAUCAUAUGGAGAAACCACUGAAGCAGGCGAAAGCACAACCAGAUUAACCACACCUGUCUCAGGUUCCAUACGAAGCACUUCUAUCUCAACAAUUCCAUCAGAAAGUUCCACUGUAGGUCCAGAGAACAAAGUUCUACCAGAACUCAUUGAAGUGCCACCAGGACAGGCUAAAGUAACAGAGGCCACGACUACCAGAGGAGGUGCAGGCAUCACUGGAGAUGGAUUCAGAGCAG